This 443-nucleotide ribosomal RNA is filed under the name uncultured bacterium. RNAcentral describes it as "bacterial SSU rRNA". It matches the Rfam family "Bacterial small subunit ribosomal RNA", at positions 15 to 507 of the family's 1533-position model. The record is from RNAcentral.
GAUCAUGGCUACAGAACGAACGCUGGCGGCAGGCUUAACACAUGCAAGUCGAGCGCCCGCAAGGGAGCGGCAGACGGGUGAGUAACGCGUGGGAACAUACCCUUUGGUUCGGAAUAACUCAGGGAAACUUGAGCUAAUACCGGAUACGUCCGUAAGGAGAAAGAUUUAUCGCCAAAGGAUUGGCCCGCGUCCGAUUAGCUAGUUGGUGAGGUAACGGCUCACCAAGGCUACGAUCGGUAGCUGGUCUGAGAGGAUGAUCAGCCACAUUGGGACUGAGACACGGCCCAAACUCCUACGGGAGGCAGCAGUGGGGAAUAUUGGACAAUGGGCGCAAGCCUGAUCCAGCCAUGCCGCGUGAGUGAUGAAGGCCUUAGGGUUGUAAAGCUCUUUUGUCCGGGAAGAUAAUGACUGUACCGGAAGAAUAAGCCCCGGCUAACUUCGUG